CGAGAUGCCCUUCUUGAGCUGGCGAUACGUGCCUUAGACAAGUCGUAUCCUCCCAGCUCAGAAGGGCAUUCUCACGCUCCCACGCCCUACCACGACACUCCACCUGUCGGUGGAUCGAG
This is a non-coding RNA of Jiangella alkaliphila, 119 nucleotides long. The record is from Rfam. NCBI's taxonomy places the organism in Bacteria, Bacillati, Actinomycetota, Actinomycetes, Jiangellales, Jiangellaceae.